This 497-nucleotide ribosomal RNA is filed under the name uncultured bacterium. RNAcentral describes it as "partial 16S ribosomal RNA". It matches the Rfam family "Bacterial small subunit ribosomal RNA", at positions 28 to 507 of the family's 1533-position model. The record is from RNAcentral.
GACGAACGCUGGCGGCGUGCCUAAUACAUGCAAGUAGAACGCUGAAGCGCGGAGCUUGCUCUUCUUGGAUGAGUCGCGCACGGGUGAGUAACGCGUAGGUAACCUGCCUUGUAGCGGGGGAAAACUAUUGGAAACGAUAGCUAAUACCGCAUAACAAUGGAUGACACAUGUCAUUUAUUUGAAAGGGGCAAUUGCUCCACGACAAGGUGGACCUGCGGUGUAUUAGCUAGUAGGUGAGGUACUGGCUCACGUAGGCGACGUUACAGAGCCCACCUGAGAGGGUGAGCGGCCACACUGGGAGGGUGACACGCCCCAGUGGGACUCGGGUAGGAGCAAGACUGAAUCUGGGGGAAGGGGUGCAAACCUGACCGAGCAACGCCGCGGGAGGGAAGAAGGAUUUCGGAUCGUAAAGGUCUGUUGUAAGUCAAGAAAGGGUGUGAGAGUGGAAAGUUCACACUGUGACGGUAGCUUACCAGAAAGCGACGGCUAACUACGUG